CUACGGGAUGCAGCAGUGGGGAAUAUUGGACAAUGGGGGGAACCCUGAUCCAGCCAUGCCGCGUGUGUGAAGAAGGCCUUUUGGUUGUAAAGCACUUUAAGCAGUGAAGAAGACUCUUCGGUUAAUACCCGGGGACGAUGACAUUAGCUGCAGAAUAAGCACCGGCUAACUCUGUGCCAGCAGCCGCGGUAAUACAGAGGGUGCAAGCGUUAAUCGGAAUUACUGGGCGUAAAGCGAGCGUAGGUGGCUUGAUAAGUCAGAGGUGAAAUCCCCGGGCUUAACCUGGGAACUGCAUCUGAAACUGUUAGGCUAGAGUAGGUGAGAGGUAAGUAGAAUUUCAGGUGUAGCGGUGAAAUGCGUAGAGAUCUGAAGGAAUACCGAUGGCGAAGGCAGCUUCCUGGCAUCAUACUGACACUGAGGCUCGAAAGCGUGGGUAGCAAACAGGAUUAGAUACCCGAGUAGUC
This 464-nucleotide ribosomal RNA is filed under the name uncultured bacterium. RNAcentral describes it as "partial 16S ribosomal RNA". It matches the Rfam family "Bacterial small subunit ribosomal RNA", at positions 339 to 795 of the family's 1533-position model. The record is from RNAcentral.